UAACUUUCUUUUUAAAUACAGGGAAAUCUGUUGAGCGAAGAAUGAUUUUUGGCUGCCUGUAGAUAUGAGUAUAAACAUGAAAUGGAGGUGCUAUAAUCCAGUCCCAUCCAAAAGCUUCAAAAUCCACUGUCAGCGGGUAGCGACAACAUCGGGAUUCUGUUGAGUGCUCAUCACAGUCAAGGCCAAAGUCUCUGCGGGAUCUUUUUGGUGUGUCUGUAACUCUGACCUCUAAAAAUGGAUUCUGUGAGGAGAGGAAAUGGAACUUGAAAUAUUACUGAAGUAAUUAUGAGUUUCUCCCUUCCAGGAUGCCCACCUUUAUGCCUACAACUCCUCCAGUGCUGCAGAAGAUGCCCUGCGGCUCAAGAGCAAGGGAAGAUGAACAGUGCAGGAGGUGGAGAAGAGGACCUGAGUGUAGUGGCUGCAGGAGAAGACCUGCUGCUGGCUGGUGAGUACCCUGCUGCCCACAGGGUGCUAUGGCUCAGCCCCUCUGCUGAGGGGCAGGAGGGAGAGGGGGCUAUCCUGGGCAGCAGAACAGGCCGCAAGGAAC
Dromaius novaehollandiae (emu) is the source of this 547-nucleotide long non-coding RNA. RefSeq lists it as uncharacterized. The transcript is spliced from 3 exons. NCBI's taxonomy places the organism in Eukaryota, Metazoa, Chordata, Aves, Casuariiformes, Dromaiidae. The record is from RefSeq and is a predicted model, not a curated record.